GCGGUGUAGCUCAGUUGGUUAGAGCAGCGGAAUCAUAAUCCGCGUGUCGGGGGUUCGAAUCCCUCCACCGC
Molecule: transfer RNA, 71 nt
Filed under: uncultured Mariniblastus sp.
Lineage: Bacteria; Pseudomonadati; Planctomycetota; Planctomycetia; Pirellulales; Pirellulaceae
Also listed under: 1 other name
Rfam family: tRNA
About the family: Transfer RNA (tRNA) molecules are approximately 80 nucleotides in length.
Source: RNAcentral